AAUCAACGCUGGCGGCGUGCCUAACACAUGCAAGUCGAACGAGAAGGUGACUUCGGUCACUGGAUAGUGGCGUCCGGGUGAGUAACACGUAGGUAAUCUACCUUCGGGUGGGGAAUAACGUCUCGAAAGAGACGCUAAUACCGCAUAAUGCAGCGGCACCUAAUGGUGAUUAGUUGUUAAAGCGGGGGAUCUUCGGACCUCGCGCCUGAAGAGGAGCCUGCGGCAGAUUAGCUAGUUGGUGAGGUAAUGGCUCACCAAGGCUUCGAUCUGUAGCUGGUCUGAGAGGACGGCCAGCCACACUGGCACUGACACACGGGCCAGACUCCUACGGGAGGCAGCAGUGGGGAAUUUUGGGCAAUGGGCGAAAGCCUGACCCAGCAACGCCGUGUGAAGGAGGAAAUCCUUC
This 406-nucleotide ribosomal RNA is filed under the name uncultured bacterium. RNAcentral describes it as "bacterial SSU rRNA". It matches the Rfam family "Bacterial small subunit ribosomal RNA", at positions 32 to 419 of the family's 1533-position model. The record is from RNAcentral.